This 253-nucleotide ribosomal RNA is filed under the name uncultured bacterium. Its description in RNAcentral is "partial 16S ribosomal RNA". It matches the Rfam family "Bacterial small subunit ribosomal RNA", at positions 524 to 776 of the family's 1533-position model. The record is from RNAcentral.
UACGAAGGGGGCUAGCGUUGUUCGGAAUCACUGGGCGUAAAGGGAGCGUAGGCGGGUGCUUAAGUUGGAUGUUUAAAACCGGGGCCCAACCUCGGAGCGGCAUCCAAAACUGGGCGUCUUGAAUGGAACAGAGGCUAGUGGAAUUGGGGGUGUAGCGGUGGAAUGCGUAGAGAUCCCCAAGAACACCAAUUGCGAAGGCAGCUAGCUGGGUUCACAUUGACGCUGAGGCUCGAAAGCAUGGGGAGCAAACAGG